CCAUUCAGGUGAUCGCUGCAACUUCGGGUUGUAGAGGAAAGUCCAUGCUCGCACGGUUCUGAGAUGACCGUAGUGUUCGUGCCCGGCGAAGUCAUAAGCCGGGGCAGAUCCAUCCGGGUCUGACGGCGGGGAUAAUGCCUAAGUCCUUCGGGAUAUGGCAGAGAUCUCCUGAAAAGUGCCACAGUGACGUAGCCGCAUCGGAAACGGUGCGGGUGGAACGGGUAAACCCCUCGAGCGAGAAACCCAAAUUUUGGUAGGGGCGUCCUUCCGAAGGAAAUGAACGGAGGAAGGGACAGGCAGCCGCCUGUAGAUAGAUGAUUACCGCCGGAGUACGAGGCGCAAGCCGUCUGAGUACGAAGGAACAAAACAUGGCUUAUCGAA
Bhargavaea cecembensis DSE10 is the source of this 381-nucleotide non-coding RNA. It matches the Rfam family "Bacterial RNase P class B". From Rfam's summary of the family: Ribonuclease P (RNase P) is a ubiquitous endoribonuclease, found in archaea, bacteria and eukarya as well as chloroplasts and mitochondria. Its best characterised activity is the generation of mature 5'-ends of tRNAs by cleaving the 5'-leader elements of precursor-tRNAs. The record is from Rfam. NCBI's taxonomy places the organism in Bacteria, Bacillati, Bacillota, Bacilli, Caryophanales, Caryophanaceae.